This is a long non-coding RNA of Melopsittacus undulatus (budgerigar), 1182 nucleotides long. RefSeq lists it as uncharacterized. The transcript has 3 exons. Lineage: Eukaryota; Metazoa; Chordata; Aves; Psittaciformes; Psittaculidae. The record is from RefSeq and is a predicted model, not a curated record.
AACAUGCUAGGUUUAGGAUUACUGCUUCAGACAGUGUGAAUCAAAUAUUUGUAUCAUCCUUUGAGAAUAAAAGAAAGUGUGUAGUGAUACGGAAACUUUUAGGGGGCAAACACAGAACAAAAAAGAGCUGCUGCAUUCAUUACCGCUGCAAAAGAUAAAAGUAACUGAUCAGCUCAGAGCGAGCAUUUUGUGUAUACCUUGCAUAGAAAGAAAAGGAUUCAAGUAUGAUCAAAUUAGGUUUAUUACAAAGUAAUGACAUAUUUCUGCUAUGAAACUGGCUGGAUAUGAAUAUUCAGCAAUUUCUUGUUCUGGUUCAUGGUUUGCCUGAGAAAACUCAGUUCUCAUGACAGCUAACAACAUUUCACCUGGGAUUAAAGUAAACCACAUUAUUCCUGUUUUCCUGGCUUUACAAAUGUCCAGCUAUGUAUUCUAGUGUAUUCAUGCAUUAAGGAACAGAAAAAUCCUAAGAGGCCUGGGGUUUUCUUUGUUGGACUGGGAGGUUGUAAUUGAAGAAAUGCACAGCAGAGACACAGUUUAUCCCCAGUACUACUGAACAGGACAGCCUUUGAUCAUCAUUGUGGUUGAAGGGUACUAACUCAGUCUCCCUCCCUCAAGGACUGAUAUGGGACUGCCUGUACAUACCUGUUGUCCCAGUGAAUAGCUACGUGAUGGGAGAACUUUGCACCUGAUUCACAGCUGAGUGACAUCAGCUCAUGAAGCUAAAAGCUUUCAGCCUAAUGGACACCACAUAUUGUAAUAUCAUAUGAGCACUCAGCAGAUCAGACUGACCGUAUUGCUCUUCCCUUUGGAGGACACUGGUCUCCACGGUCUUCUUACCAGUGAAGCACCCUGAGGCACUUCUCACGCUGCUGCCUGCCUAUCUUUGCCAGAAUGGUAUUCUGAUUGAUGUGCCAAGGGUCCCACGGGCCUGCACAGAAACCAAGGAAGGGCCUGAGGAACUGAGGAUGGUGUGUGAAGGAGACACUUUUCUUGAUCCAGCUGGCCUAUCGUUGGGGUGCACAGCCAAAUCUGGAAACAGCAAAGUGCUGCCAGAAAGACAGAUGUGGUCAUGCCAGCCCUUAGACAGCCUUCUGAGGUACCUGUUAUUUAACCCUCAUAUUGAAUAUGUGAUGGGCUAAAACUGAUUAAAAAGCAAAUAAAAUGGCAUGGGCAAUUUAAUGA